RNAcentral lists this ribosomal RNA (490 nucleotides) under uncultured bacterium. Its description in RNAcentral is "partial 16S ribosomal RNA". It matches the Rfam family "Bacterial small subunit ribosomal RNA", at positions 30 to 507 of the family's 1533-position model. The record is from RNAcentral.
AUUGAACGCUGGCGGCAGGCCUAACACAUGCAAGUCGAACGGUAACAGGAAGCAGCUUGCUGCUUCGCUGACGAGUGGCGGACGGGUGAGUAAUGUCUGGGAAACUGCCUGAUGGAGGGGGAUAACUACUGGAAACGGUAGCUAAUACCGCAUAACGUCGCAAGACCAAAGAGGGGGACCUUAGGGCCUCUUGCCAUCGGAUGUGCCCAGAUGGGAUUAGCUAGUAGGUGGGGUAACGGCUCACCUAGGCGACGAUCCCUAGCUGGUCUGAGAGGAUGUCCAGCCACACUGGAACUGAGACACGGUCCAGACUCCUACGGGAGGCAGCAGUGGGGAAUAUUGCACAAUGGGCGCAAGCCUGAUGCAGCCAUGCCGCGUGUAUGAAGAAGGCCUUCGGGUUGUAAAGUACUUUCAGCGGGGAGGAAGGGAGUAAAGUUAAUACCUUUGCUCAUUGACGUUACCCGCAGAAGAAGCACCGGCUAACUCCGUG